AUACGAAGGGCCCGAGCGUUGCGCGGAAUCAUUGGGCUUAAAGCGUGCGUAGGCGGGCGCGCAAGCACCUUGUGAAAUCCCUCGGCUCAACCGAGGAACUGCUUGGUGAACUGCGUGCCUUGAGGCAAGUAGGGGCUGUCGGAACGAUAGGUGGAGCGGUGAAAUGCGUUGAUAUCUAUCGGAACGCCGAAGGCGAAGGCAGACAGCUGGGCUUGUUCUGACGCUCAGGCACGAAAGCGUGGGGAGCGAACGGGAUUAGAUACCCCGGUAGUCC
RNAcentral lists this ribosomal RNA (274 nucleotides) under uncultured bacterium. RNAcentral's name for it is "partial 16S ribosomal RNA". It matches the Rfam family "Bacterial small subunit ribosomal RNA", at positions 523 to 796 of the family's 1533-position model. The record is from RNAcentral.